RNAcentral lists this unclassified non-coding RNA (329 nucleotides) under soil metagenome. RNAcentral describes it as "partial contains 5.8S ribosomal RNA, internal transcribed spacer 2, and large subunit ribosomal RNA". The stretch from base 1 to 120 matches the Rfam family "5.8S ribosomal RNA", at positions 35 to 154 of the family's 154-position model. The record is from RNAcentral.
GAUGAAGAACGCAGCGAAAUGCGAUAAGUAAUGUGAAUUGCAGAAUUCAGUGAAUCAUCGAAUGUUUGAACGCACAUUGCGCCCCCUGGUAUUCCGGGGGGCAUGCCUGUCCGAGCGUCAUUACAACCCUCAAGCCCAGCUUGGUGUUGGGCCCCGCCGCCCCGGCGGGCCCUAAAGUCAGUGGCGGUGCCGUCCGGCUCCGAGCGUAGUAAUUCUUCUCGCUCUGGAGGUCCGGUCGUGUGCUCGCCAGCAACCCCCAAUUUUUUUCAGGUUGACCUCGGAUCAGGUAGGGAUACCCGCUGAACUUAAGCAUAUCAAUAAGCGGAGGA